UCCGUCGUAGCUUAAUUGGUAGAGCAUCGGACGCGCAAUUCGAAGGUUGUGGGUUCGCAUCCCACCGAUGGAA
This 73-nucleotide transfer RNA is filed under the name Rhipicephalus sanguineus (brown dog tick). RNAcentral describes it as "transfer RNA alanine (anticodon CGC)". It matches the Rfam family "tRNA". From Rfam's summary of the family: Transfer RNA (tRNA) molecules are approximately 80 nucleotides in length. Their secondary structure includes four short double-helical elements and three loops (D, anti-codon, and T loops). The record is from Rfam by way of RNAcentral. Lineage: Eukaryota; Metazoa; Arthropoda; Arachnida; Ixodida; Ixodidae.